Leptonychotes weddellii (Weddell seal) is the source of this 1357-nucleotide non-coding RNA. NCBI's taxonomy places the organism in Eukaryota, Metazoa, Chordata, Mammalia, Carnivora, Phocidae. The record is from RefSeq and is a predicted model, not a curated record.
ACCCCAGCAGCAGCAGCAGCUGAUGAUGAAGAGAGAGGCAGUGGCAGAGGGGGGGCACCUUUUAUUUCUAUUUUUAAAGGGACAGGACACUAAUUUUACCCCACUUCAACCUUGAAUUGAGGGGGGUGGGGGGAAGGCGGCUGAGUUCCUUCCCCCACCCUCCAGCCCUGAGACCUGAGAGGGGGAUUGAGCCUGAGAGAGAAGAAGAAGGAGUUUCUUCUUCUUCGAAAACCCCCAUCCACGACUCCUACCCCCUCACCCCUCCACUAGCCUCCCUCCCGAGCCCCCUCCACCCUCCUCCUCUUUGGCCGUGAGAGGAGGAGAGAAAGAGACCAAAAGCCUCUUAGCAACACAGACCCUUCUCUGCUGCUGCUGCUGCCGCUGCUACUGCUGCUGCUGCUGCUUGGCCCUGGCUGGAGACAUCUCACUACACCCAGGAGCAGCCACUUCCCCAGCUCUCCUCCUCCUUCGCCUCCUCCUCCUCCACUCCCCCCCCUUUAUUACCCUUUGUGUCAUCCUCCACAGCUCCAGGGAAGGCACUCAAAAGUGGGGGGCAGGAAAGAUGCUUUUUGAGGAAAUCAGUUUCUACAUGUGGCAAGUAGACAUUGAAGGUUAUAUGGUUUACAGACAAGAUCUUUAAAACAUAGAUACUCAAGUCUCCUCCCAUAGGUACUGAUGACACCUGACGGUCUCCUCACCUGCAUGUAUAGCCCAGACCCAGUUUCCUUUGACUGGGGAAAAACCUAGACAGUCUCAGUGUACACAUCUAACUGAGCCAUGGAAUGGUCACCCCCCGCCUUUUGAACUAACCAGGGAUUCAGUGUUUUAACCCUGACCAACGGGCUCUGAUGUUGCUUCACUUAAAUGCCCACUGCCACAUACCUAAAUUAAUUCUGUACUCCAUUAGUUCUCUACUAUUCCACAAACAGAAACUUUGGUUAAGAAUGCCCUGUAUUGACUUCUUUCAUCUUCUAAAACUGUUGCCAUACUUCUGGUUACAUGUGUUAAGGUUAUGUAAAAAGUAAAUAUUUUGACAAAAGAAUAACUAAGAUAUAUAAGUUCAGGGAAGGUAAGUAUUGGUAAAAGAUAGGCAAUCAUCUGGUCUAAUGUCCUUUACAGUAUAUACCAAAUUGUAGUUAACCCUAGAAGAUUUUCACUUCACCUCCAGAAUUUGAAACUUUAUAGUAACCACGUAUUAUUAAAAGAAAAAUUAAAGGUAUUUCCACUUACAAAAAUAAAAAAGAGUAGAGAUUAUAAGCAAGAAUUUCAUAGACCCACUAACAAGAAACUGUCAAUAAACAUAUAAUGGUUAUAAUUUUUGAUACAGUUGAGUGUUUCUACCAUCUUAUUUCAGUUU